RNAcentral lists this ribosomal RNA (351 nucleotides) under uncultured bacterium. Its description in RNAcentral is "bacterial SSU rRNA". It matches the Rfam family "Bacterial small subunit ribosomal RNA", at positions 355 to 722 of the family's 1533-position model. The record is from RNAcentral.
UAGGGAAUAUUGCAAAAUGGGCGAAAGCCCGAUGCAGCAACGCCGCGUGGGCGAUGAAGGCCUUCGGGUCGUAAAGCCCUUUUUGAGGGGAUGAGGAAGGACAGUACCCUCAGAAUAAGCCUCGGCUAACUACGUGCCAGCAGCCGCGGUAAAACGUAGGAGGCGAGCGUUAUCCGGAUUUACUGGGCGUAAAGCGCGUGCAGGCGGAUUGGAGAGUUGGAUGUGAAAGCUCCCGGCUUAACUGGGAGAGGUCGUUCAAUACUUCCAGUCUUGAGUGCAGUAGAGGGAAGUGUAAUUCCGGGUGUAGUGGUGAAAUGCGUAGAUAUCCGGAGGAGCACCAGUGGCGAAAGC